RNAcentral lists this small RNA (27 nucleotides) under Bombyx mori (domestic silkworm). RNAcentral describes it as "ovarian small RNA-3138". The record is from RNAcentral. Lineage: Eukaryota; Metazoa; Arthropoda; Insecta; Lepidoptera; Bombycidae.
UAUCGGUGAUCUGACAGUGUCUCCGCC